This 481-nucleotide ribosomal RNA is filed under the name uncultured bacterium. RNAcentral describes it as "bacterial SSU rRNA". It matches the Rfam family "Bacterial small subunit ribosomal RNA", at positions 28 to 518 of the family's 1533-position model. The record is from RNAcentral.
GACGAACGCUGGCGGCGUGCUUAACACAUGCAAGUCGAACGAUGAAGGGGAGCUUGCUUCCUGGAUUAGUGGCGAACGGGUGAGUAACACGUGAGUAACCUGCCCUGGACUCUGGGAUAAGCGUUGGAAACGACGUCUAAUACCGGAUAGGACCUUUCACCGCAUGGUGGGGGGUGGAAAGAUUUUUUGGUUUGGGAUGGACUCGCGGCCUAUCAGCUUGUUGGUGAGGUAAUGGCUCACCAAGGCGUCGACGGGUAGCCGGCCUGAGAGGGUGACCGGCCACACUGGGACUGAGACACGGCCCAGACUCCUACGGGAGGCAGCAGUGGGGAAUAUUGCACAAUGGGCGGAAGCCUGAUGCAGCAACGCCGCGUGCGGGAUGACGGCCUUCGGGUUGUAAACCGCUUUUAGUAAGGAAGAAGCCUUUCGGGGUGACGGUACUUGCAGAAAAAGGACCGGCUAACUACGUGCCAGCAGCCGC